RNAcentral lists this long non-coding RNA (556 nucleotides) under Homo sapiens (human). RNAcentral describes it as "HSALNT0343365". Lineage: Eukaryota; Metazoa; Chordata; Mammalia; Primates; Hominidae. The record is from RNAcentral.
UAGUCAGCAGUGCUGGCAGUUGAGAAGAAGAGCUGGAUGUGGAGUGGGGAAGGGGAAUAAGGAAUAGAAUAAGGAAAAAGAAAAAUGAGUACAAACUAAACCUGCCUCUCAUUACCUUAGGCCACCCUGACCUUCAGAACAUACAGCUGCUGCUUUUUGUCUGUCUUCUAAGUGUUGUGUACAUUUUUCUUUUGCCUAGCUCUAAGGCAGAACCAUACAGGGAAGGUAAUUCUGGGAUAUGUAUUUUCCAGCUUUCCAUUAACAUAAAUUGGCCAAAUCCUGCAGUUUUUUGGUCCUUGUCUGCAGAUGAUGAUUUUAAAUAUUUUGCCACUGCAUGCUGUGGACUACUAGUAGCCCCUUUACCAUUGGAAACUGGUCAUUAAUACCUUCAAUCAAAUCAGAGAAGCAACUUCAGGCAAAAAUACGGAAUUGAGGGAGUGAUUGUUUUGGGACAAAGAGAGGUAGAGAUUUUGCCAGAAAUACGUGGAGCUCCUUCCGUUACCAGCAUUCCUUUACCAGAAGGUAAUUACUGUCUUGAAGUUGGUAUUCUUCUAUC